RNAcentral lists this ribosomal RNA (506 nucleotides) under uncultured bacterium. RNAcentral's name for it is "partial 16S ribosomal RNA". It matches the Rfam family "Bacterial small subunit ribosomal RNA", at positions 29 to 523 of the family's 1533-position model. The record is from RNAcentral.
AGUGAACGCUGGCGGUAGGCCUAACACAUGCAAGUCGAACGGCAGCACAGGAGAGCUUGCUCUCUGGGUGGCGAGUGGCGGACGGGUGAGGAAUACAUCGGAAUCUACUCUGUCGUGGGGGAUAACGUAGGGAAACUUACGCUAAUACCGCAUACGACCUACGGGUGAAAGCAGGGGAUCUUCGGACCUUGCGCGAUUGAAUGAGCCGAUGUCGGAUUAGCUAGUUGGCGGGGUAAAGGCCCACCAAGGCGACGAUCCGUAGCUGGUCUGGGGGAAUGAGCAGCCACACUGGAAAUGACACACGGUACAGCGUCAUACGGGAGGCAGCAGUGGGGAUUAUUGGAAAAUGGGCGAAAGCCUGAUCCAGCCAUACCGCGUGGGUGAAGGAGGCCUUCGGGUUGUGAAGCCCUUUUGUUGGGAAAGAAAUCCAGCUGGCUAAUACCCGGUUGGGAUGACGGUACCCAAAGAAUAAGCACCGGCUAACUUCGUGCCAGCCGCCGCCGUAA